UGGGAAAAAAAACAUUGAACCACUUACUUAUACUAAAAAUGAAAAACUUAUCUGUCAAAAAGACAACACACCAUGCCACAAAUCGCAGAAGACAACAGAAUACUUCAUGGGGAUUUAUGGCAAGAAAAGUGAGAGGGUCUGGCUGCAGACCUCCACUCUCAGGACCCUUCCUUGCAGACCUGCACUGUGAGGUCUCCUCCACUCUCAGGACCGGAAGUUUAUUCGACGGAAGCACGUAUUUAGCGUUUCCCACGUGAAGUACGGAGACAACAAAAUGCAUAUUUCAGUCCUAACAGCCGGCAGCACGCCCAAAAUGAAACGCUGCAAGACAUGCUGCAAACAAUUCCACCAUCCGCUGUGCCUAAAGUUUAAACCUGCCAAACUGUCCAAGCUGCAGAGCCACUUGGAGGCACACAAAAAAGGUGGCAUUUUAUUUAAAGAUAAAAUUAUAUGCAGAUGCGGACUGAACUGCAGGGAUCAGGGAC
Molecule: long non-coding RNA, 485 nt
Organism: Acanthochromis polyacanthus (spiny chromis)
Lineage: Eukaryota; Metazoa; Chordata; Actinopteri; Pomacentridae
Exons: 3
Source: RefSeq, a predicted model, not a curated record